UUGACAGUUUUGGAUGGUGAAUACCCCUGCUUAUACAGAGAACUGAUACUGGACAGGUGGUGGCCGUUCAGGUUCACCUCCACUGUCUUGAUAAUGUGCCUCCAAUCUGACCUGAUGGACACCUGUAGAAAUGGAGUGAGUUCAGUCUCCAGGUUAAUUCAGUCUUGGCCUCU
This 173-nucleotide small RNA is filed under the name Chelonoidis abingdonii (Abingdon island giant tortoise). RNAcentral's name for it is "TUC338 (ENSCABG00000012480.1)". The record is from RNAcentral. Lineage: Eukaryota; Metazoa; Chordata; Testudines; Testudinidae.